UGCCAUAAAUGAGACUGCGUUAUGAACCAGGGAUUAUGAUUAAUCUAGUUCUAUACACCUGAGGUCUACAUA
Molecule: small nucleolar RNA, 72 nt
Filed under: Mustela putorius furo (domestic ferret)
Lineage: Eukaryota; Metazoa; Chordata; Mammalia; Carnivora; Mustelidae
Description: Small nucleolar RNA SNORD112 (ENSMPUG00000021354.1)
Source: RNAcentral